Molecule: long non-coding RNA, 645 nt
Organism: Eucalyptus grandis
Lineage: Eukaryota; Viridiplantae; Streptophyta; Magnoliopsida; Myrtales; Myrtaceae
Exons: 2
Source: RefSeq, a predicted model, not a curated record
AGGACGAGGAAGAGGAAGAGGAAGAGAGGGACGAUGAAGAAGCCGAAGAGGAGCAAGAUGACAGUGAUGGCUACAACGACGAUGAAUACGACGAUGGGGGCAGCUACAACGGUGAGGACGAUGACGGCGACUAGGACGACAAUGCGUAGGAGGUUCUGUAUUCAUCUCGCGGGCAUCCACAAGUUCAUUCCGUGGACAACGAUGAAGAGAAGGAGGAAGGCGAGAGGAGAAGGCGAAUCGAUGGCAACAACAAGAAAGAGGACGAGAUCGAUGAUGAAGAAGCCAAAGAAGACGUAAGAGAUGGAACAGAAUGAUGCACUUGGCUUAUUUUUUUUCUUUCGAAACACGUGGAGAGAUGACUGUGACUCCUUCCGGUCUCGAGAGUUGAUCGGCGAAACCACGUCAGUUUCUUGUCUCUUUCAUUUCUUAUCAGCUUUUGUUCUUUUCCUUUUCGAUUGUUCAGAUGUUAUUCACUCCUCUCCUCUCUUUUCCCUCCGUAAAAUGACAAUGGUAUGCAAGUGCUCUAUUUAUGUCCCACGAAUUUGUUUGGAUUUUAUUUGUUAAUCAGUUCCGAUUUAGUGUAUGCAUCUCAUUAUGUCGAGAGGUGCCCUGUAGAAACAUGAUUUAUGAAUCUCUCUUUGCCGA